RNAcentral lists this ribosomal RNA (468 nucleotides) under uncultured bacterium. RNAcentral describes it as "partial 16S ribosomal RNA". It matches the Rfam family "Bacterial small subunit ribosomal RNA", at positions 28 to 507 of the family's 1533-position model. The record is from RNAcentral.
GACGAACGCUGGCGGCGUGCUUAACACAUGCAAGUCGAACGGAGAGGCCCUGCUUUUGUGGGGUGCUCGAGUGGCGAACGGGUGAGUAACACGUGAGUAACCUGCCCUUGACUUUGGGAUAACUUCAGGAAACUGGGGCUAAUACCGGAUAGGAGCUCCUGCUGCAUGGUGGGGGUUGGAAAGUUUCGGCGGUUGGGGAUGGACUCGCGGCUUAUCAGCUUGUUGGUGGGGUAGUGGCUUACCAAGGCUUUGACGGGUAGCCGGCCUGAGAGGGUGACCGGCCACAUUGGGACUGAGAUACGGCCCAGACUCCUACGGGAGGCAGCAGUGGGGAAUAUUGCACAAUGGGCGGAAGCCUGAUGCAGCAACGCCGCGUGCGGGAUGACGGCCUUCGGGUUGUAAACCGCUUUCGCCUGUGACGAAGCGUGAGUGACGGUAAUGGGUAAAGAGGCACCGGCUAACUACGUG